AAGUGCUAGAGAGUUUAGUUUAUUAAAGAUGUACGUCUACCUUGGUAGUAAAUCGUGUAACAGAGUCACUGUAACAGUUAACGAUAAACCUAUAUACACAUGUAACGAUGAUGGGGUAUUUCUCCCUAACUACGACGACAGUGGCCAGUUCUACAGCAAAGCUACGAUAGAAUUCAAUAAUAUGACCGCGGACUCCCUUGAUGUUAUAUAUUUAGAUUUUGACGGUCGUGUGGUGGUGGACGUGUCUUGUGAUUGUUCUAAACCCGUGGCAAAUGGUGGUUGGGGUAAAUGGGCGGAAUACAGUAUCUGCUCUGUUUCAUGUGGUAGAGGUAAGAGAAUGAGGACAAGGAGAUGUGAUAAUCCUGCAGUAGCUAAUGGUGGAAUGUAUUGUACUGGUAACUCUAGAGAGACAUUUGAAUGCAAACAACUAGAACAAUGUCCAGCCGGCCUAGAGUAUGAGAUUAUGCUAACAGCGAGUAUAAGUGCAGUUUUGGUAGCCACCCUUCUUGUAUGUUUUUUAACAUGGUUUAUGAGACGAAAUAUCAAGAAAUCUCAACCAACUGUCCAUAAUGAAAACACAACAAGCCAUAAUGACAAUAUAAGAGAAAAUGUGAAUGACAUCAUAACAGAUGACUGGUAUGACACUAUCGCUAACGUGCAUGUAAACACAAAAGACCAAGGGCAAGGCAACAACACGGUACGGAAAUGUGACAACGACACAGUAGCUGACGAUUCAGCAAAAUACAUUCAAGUAAUUUAACAAAUGAAAUGGGGUUUCAAGUCCUACUUUUCUGUACAGAAUAAAUAUUUUAAGUGUAUAUUCAUUAUGUUAAACAGGCAUUAUUCAAGAGCUAAAUCUGUCUAUUGCAGAUCUUUCUUUAGACCUAAUGUUAUAUAAAUUAUUAAUUAGACAUUUAGACAUCCGGGUGUACGAAAAUUUCAGUUUGAUCACUUUCUUGCCCAAUCGCGGUUAAACCUACAGACAAAACGAUAUUUAUACUCUGAUCUAUGUAGUACAGUAGUCGAGUCUUAAAUUUUCGAGUUGCUUUCCUAUUUCCUUGUAGUGUGCGAUUUCCACGUCCUUGCUACCACGGGCUGGGAUCCGCCAUUUUCUUUUUCAAUCUUGAAAAUGACCCAUCAUAUCUUUAGACGAGUGAUGCGAAUAAUCGUUCAACUGACAACGCUUAGCGGAACAUUGAAUCGAUAUGCAAAGGUUUCAUUUAUAUCGUAUUCCCUUUAGUAAUAACACAUUUUGCCUUUGUAUAAAUGUAAACAAUGUUUCGUAGGUAGCUUGCGUGUCCAAAUAUCUGGUAUGUCCUUGACCUUAUGCUAAAAUCAAUGAGCAAAGUGUUAAUUUUAAAUACAAAUUUUUAAUUUUUUAAUUUAAACAACUGCGGAAUACGAUUAAUUCAUACCUAAAUACAAAUGAGGUGUCAUUUACGGGAUUUGAUAAUAUUAAAAAAAAAUAAGUCAUGCAUGAACUCAUUGAUGCGAGCAACACUUCCUUUGAGCGGUAAUUCGACACAGAAAGGUAAAUAAAAAUGCAGUAAAUACUUUUUAACUUAUACUAUCACAAUUAUCCUUACAUCAGGUGGUAAAUCGUAAUAGUAUAGACUAUUGCGCUUCAUUUGCAAGACAUGUCACAUCUUUUAAUAUCAACAUUAUUCAUAUCGACCGUUCUGUAGAUUCAUGAAAACUGAACUGUCAAAAUCUAAGCUAUCAUGGCUGCCGUUGUCAAGUGUUGGUAAAUGUUAGCAAAAAGACUUGUUUUUAAAUUCUGAAUAGAUUAUUAUUCAUUUAUGUUAGAAUAAUAAUCAUUUUGAGGGUUUGACAUAGAAUUUUUUACGUAGAUAUAAUUUCUGUGGGGCAAAUUCCUUUCUAUGGAGUACCAUUUGAAACACAUCAUAUUUUCCAAUCAAUCACUCAGCUGGACCUUUCCACAUUCAAUAGUGGACUAUUAGUAUACAGUCUAAGAUUAAACAAUGUGUUGAGUGUGAAUAAAUAUUGAAUAAAAUUUAUAACAAAUUAUUUUACAUUAAAAUUCAGUAAAAAUGUUCAAUGUUUAAUUGUGAUACAGUAUUUACAAUUUUCCAUACAGACCCGAAACAUUUAAUCCAAAUGAUGUUUAUGAUGGUACUCCAUACCAAAAGUCUGAAAGUAUAGUCCGUUGAAAAAAAAUGGAGGAUAUUUGAAAAAAAAGUUGAAUUAUAUGGACGUGGUGUGCUAAAACAAAGAUAGUUUUCAACAUUUGAAGUCUUGAUGGUUGUAGUGUAUAUAUUCAGGUAUCUCUGUGAGACUUUGUGAUUUCCCAUGUUGAGUUGUUUACCCUGUAGCUGUGCAGUGCUGAAUGGUAUAUUUGCUUCAUAUUUUCCAAAGUUACAAAUUCCAAAGUCAUUAUUUUUUAUUUACAUCAAUUGUUUAUUGUUCAGUAUCAUCUCAAGCACAUUUAGACACCAAAAUAAAGGCACUAAAGGUGUUCUGAAUGAUUUUCUGAGGACCCCCCAUUUCAGGUGUUGUGACAAUGUUUGUCACUUUACCUUGCCCUUAAAUCUUUUGAUGUUGUUAAAAUUACUAAAUAUCAUUUCAAAUGUUUAUACAUUUGUACAAUUAUUCUGUAUCAAAUAUUAUUUAAAUGUGUAAACUUUAUGUUGUAAUAUGUUGAGAUUCUCUUA
Molecule: long non-coding RNA, 2672 nt
Organism: Patella vulgata (common limpet)
Lineage: Eukaryota; Metazoa; Mollusca; Gastropoda; Patellidae
Exons: 5
Source: RefSeq, a predicted model, not a curated record